CGUAAGCAACCCGCCUAUCAGAGGGGAAUAACAGUGAGAAAUCAUUGCUAAUACCGCAUAAGCUAGUAGUAUCGCAUGAUAUAGCUAGAAAAGGAGCAAUCCGCUGAUAGAUGGGCUUGCGUCUGAUUAGCUAGUUGGUGGGGUAACGGCCUACCAAGGCGACGAUCAGUAGCCGGACUGAGAGGUUGAACGGCCACAUUGGGACUGAGAUACGGCCCAGACUCCUACGGAAGGCAGCAG
RNAcentral lists this ribosomal RNA (240 nucleotides) under uncultured bacterium. Its description in RNAcentral is "partial 16S ribosomal RNA". It matches the Rfam family "Bacterial small subunit ribosomal RNA", at positions 116 to 354 of the family's 1533-position model. The record is from RNAcentral.